AUGCGAUAAGUAAUGUGAAUUGCAGAAUUCAGUGAAUCAUCGAAUCUUUGAACGCAAAUUGCGCCCUUUGGUAUUCCGAAGGGCAUGCCUGUUUGAGUGUCUUAUAAACCUCACCCCUAAUGUUUUAUUACAAUAGGUUGGUGCUUUGGGUGUUGCCAUUUACCUGGCUCGCCUUAAAUGACUAAGUGGAAUGCGUAAUAAGUUCUCGCAACCCUCCACUCUAAUACAAUUUAUAUUCUGACCUCAAAUCAGGUAGGACUACCCGCUGAACUUAA
RNAcentral lists this unclassified non-coding RNA (275 nucleotides) under uncultured Dioszegia. RNAcentral's name for it is "partial contains 5.8S ribosomal RNA, internal transcribed spacer 2, and large subunit ribosomal RNA". The stretch from base 1 to 102 matches the Rfam family "5.8S ribosomal RNA", at positions 53 to 154 of the family's 154-position model. Lineage: Eukaryota; Fungi; Basidiomycota; Tremellomycetes; Tremellales; Bulleribasidiaceae. The record is from RNAcentral.